This 323-nucleotide long non-coding RNA is filed under the name Elaeis guineensis (African oil palm). Its description in RNAcentral is "long non-coding RNA (EGUI_LNC022044)". The record is from RNAcentral. Lineage: Eukaryota; Viridiplantae; Streptophyta; Magnoliopsida; Arecales; Arecaceae.
GACGGGGGGAGGACGGUUUUUGGGGUGUAAUGGGAGUCUUCGGAGGAGGAGGUUGCGUUGGAUCCGAAGGAGGAGGCCUCGGAUCGGGAGACCGAGCGAGAUUUCUUCUUCGAAGAGCCGAAGAAGGCCGCCCGAAGGCUAACAAAUUUCAUGGUUUCUGGCUUUGGGCUUUGGAGGGAGAGGGAGGGACGGGGGAAAGAAGGGAGGGAGUGGGGUGGGGUUAAAGAAGGCGAAGUGGGGAGGUGGGGGGUGCAGUGGGCUUCGAGGAAGCUUCGCGGAGGGGAAAAUGCGGCACAAUGUUCUCGCCAGUCGUAUGCCAUCUU